UACGAACCGUCCAAACGUUAUUCGGAUUUACUGGGUGUAAAGGGAGCGUAGGCGGUUUUACAAGUCUGAUGUGAAAGCCCGGGGCUCAACCCCGGUAUUGCAUUGGAAACUGUAGAACUAGAGUGUCGGAGGGGUAAGUGGAAUUCCUAGUGUAGCGGUGAAAUGCGUAGAUAUUAGGGGGAACACCAGUGGCGAAGGCGGCUUACUGGACGAUUACUGACGCUGAGGCUCGAAAGCGUGGGGAGCAAAC
This 250-nucleotide ribosomal RNA is filed under the name uncultured prokaryote. Its description in RNAcentral is "partial 16S ribosomal RNA". It matches the Rfam family "Bacterial small subunit ribosomal RNA", at positions 524 to 773 of the family's 1533-position model. The record is from RNAcentral.